RNAcentral lists this long non-coding RNA (4904 nucleotides) under Sus scrofa (pig). Its description in RNAcentral is "lncRNA (ENSSSCG00050057440.1)". The record is from RNAcentral. Lineage: Eukaryota; Metazoa; Chordata; Mammalia; Artiodactyla; Suidae.
GGAAGCCACAGGGGCAGCAGGAUCUGGCCGCUAGAGAAGUUGUCUAAAUGCAGGAACCCUCCACACUGGUUCUGGGAAAGAAAACUCCUCCUUCAGUGUCUCUGCAGUGCCCUCUACUGGCAGGAGGUUGAUGUCUCUCCUGCUGGCACAGGGGAACUCUUUAAAGGGCCCAGCUGCAUCUUCACAGAGCGGGCAAUGCAGGGCGAGUGAAUUACUGGCACAGUCUGCUACUUGGGCCGCACAGCGCACAUCUGCCCCCUGUUACACAUGUGCAAGCUCCCCUACCGACCAGAAAAGGGUUGUUUUUCUCUUCUUGCUCACUGUAUCCAUCACUGUCUCCACGAAUAACACCUCAUAUUCAGUCACCAUCCCGCUGACUCUGCUGCUACCCAGACUGUAAAGUUAACUUCCAUCAACUUGUACUUAAAAUAAUGGGAAGAAAGAGGAAAAGGAAGAAUGUGGCUACCGUGUCAGAGGAACACACCUGCAUUCCAAGUAAAUAGAAGAUAUGCAAAACUACUACAGCUCUCAUUUCUGUAUUUGUCCCCAAGGCCGCCAUCGGGCUUCUCUCUCCCUUUCCCCAUCCGUAAAUCCUCUGCGCAGCCAGAACUGCAGCAGGGCAGGCUUCUUUUACCUGAUGGGGAGACCCAGACCUUGGUUUCUGAGGGCUCUGCACCCUUGGUUUUCCUGCCGUUUGUUUGGUUUUGUUACAGCAGGUUUUCACCAACCCUUCCUUUUGGUCCCGGAAGCUCUAAGAGGUACCCGAGGAAUCCCCUGCGUAAUCUUCCUGGCCUCUAAGUGCCAGCAACCCAAUGUCUCCUUGGUAACUAGAAUCAAUCCCUCCAGCUCAUGGAGUAGGUCCUUUUUUUGUGUGUUGGUCAGUGGCAUGCAGGGGUCCCCCAAAGCCAGGUAGACGACGUGUCCUCCUGGGGAACCACUGUAGUGUCCCCCUUGUGGGAUUACAACCUUCAGCACCCCUGGGGGCUUUCGGAGAUAUUGGGUGGGGUGCGGACCAGCUGCUGGGAUCAGAGGAAGCGUCUAGUAAGAGGCUCUGGAGGCGCGGGGAGCCCCCCGCCUGGCACGGCGCACACCAUCCCGGGCCCCCGUAGGGCUGCUCCUGACUCCCCACGUUCAUUUGGAAACUGUGCUCCUGUGCGGAACUCUCUCGGCUCAUUUUGGCUCCGCAGAACAAUUUCGGCUCCUUACCAGCGUCUAUUUUGGGUACAACCCUUUGUUCCCCCGUCCCUGCCUUGGGGGCUGUGUCAUGGUAACCAUGAGUGUGAGCAGACGAGUCUCAUCCACCCCAUCUCUGCCAGUGUGGCCGCCACAACGGCAGCAUUUGGUGUGACUAUAAAUGCUCCUGCUGGUGAUGCCCCGGCCUCGCGGGUGGCGUGAGAGCCACAAGUCGUCUUGUUGUGACUCCAGAGCCAGACAGAUGGGCUUUGAAGUGGGGAACAGGAUGGCAGGAUCGUUGGCCUGUUGCCAGUGGCUUUUGGUAUUCUCUGGGCAGCUGGUGGUUUUGGGUGGGAAGGACGUUUCUGGAAGUCAGAGUGAUGGUGUGACGACACGCACCUCCCUCCCGCUGCGAGAGAGUGAGCAAUCAGAGAGUGGUACUGGGACCUCCCCCUCCUCCUUAUCCAGCCCGUAUUGGGGCGGGUGGGGGAAGACUUGGCAGAUAAGCAUCUCUGUCUAGGAGGCCCUUCUGUCUCCCCUCAGCUUCCUGCUGCCCCCAGCUCACCAAGCUUAUCAUCACCCAGCAGAGGAUUGGGUGGCGUGGGACACGAGAUACUCUCUGGGCUUCCGUCACCCACAGGACGUAUUUGCGCCCCCUCCUAAGCUCAAAUAGGAAAUUCAGCCACGAGGCUGUUAUCUGUGGGCCGGCGUCCCACCGCGGGCACGGAGAGCUGAUGUGGGGUCUGUGCUUCUCCUGCUCAUCCGUGACUGAGUGUUGCCUUGUUUGUAAGGACUUGGGAGAUGCAUCUGGGACUUUCUACCUGUGCCGCCCUGGAGAGAUCAUUAAACUCUCCAAGCCUCAGUUUCUCCUUUUAAAAAAUGGGAAUAAUAACAGAACCGACUUCAUAGGAUGGUUAGGAGGAUGGGAUGGGACAAUGCACGUCCCUGAGCACAGCGCCGGACCCAUGGGAAUAAAUGAAUGAAUGACUCCUGCAUUGGGCGGGGCACUGGCUGCUAAGCUUAGAAGGGUGCAUUUCCUGCUGCCACCCCUCUCUUGCCCUCACGGCAGGCAGGCCUCACCAGGAAAGGGAGACUAAGGGAGUUCCCCUUGUGGCUCAGCGGUAACCCCACUAGUUUCCAUGAGGACAUGUGUUCGAUCCCUGGCCUGGCUCAGCGGGUGGGGGAACCAGCAUUGCCAUGAGCUGUGGUGUUGGUCUUUCAGACAUUGGAUCCAGCAUUGCUGUGGCGGUGCUGUAGGCCGGCAGCUGCAACUCUGAUUCGACCCCAGCCUGGGAACCUCCAUAUGCCACUGGUGUGGCCCUAAAACACAAAUAAAAAAAGGGGGGUGGGACACGGACUGGGAACUUUGUUUUGUGCCCAAAGUGAAUAUGUUUGCAGUGGUCACAUGCUAAUUGUGCGAGGCGGUGCUGGAGCGGGAAACAGCUUCAGCAGGGGACCUUCUUGGAUUUGGAUCCAGCCUCGCCAGCUCUGUGGCUGUGGGCAGCUUUGCUCACCUCUCUGUACCUCAUUCUUCUCAUCUAGAAAAUGGGGAUAAAAAUAGUCCCCAUUGCAAAGGGGUGGAGUGAGGCAGGUGUGCGGAUGAACAGGAUGCCGACAUUGUAAAGCUCUGUGCACAGCCCCCCCCCCCCCCCCCGCUUGUAAGAACAUAAUCAGUACAAGCUCCUGUUCAAGUGAAGUACACUCUCGGGCACUCCAGGGAUUUCAAGAAAGGAGAGAAAACUGUGGGCUGGAUUAGUCAGGGACUCAUAAUUGUUGAGAGUUCAGAGUACUUUCUUUGUGUAGGCGCUCUCGGAAGCAUGUGUAACGCAUCUCAUUUUGAUUCCCACAGAAGGCCUGUGAAGUGGCUCCUGUUAUUUUCCCCAUUUUGCAGCUGAGAAAACCGAGGCCCCGUGAUGCCUCCAGUCACACGGCUGAUGCUAAUAAGGCCAGGAUUUGAACCCAGGCCACCAGGCCUCCCAGGGAAAACUUCAGGAGGUUGAGGUUACCUACGGAUUAAGACUGUCAACCGCAAGGCACAGACUCACUCGCACCAGAGUAGGGAAAGGCUCACAUUAUGGAGAGGUUCAGAGGUGCCCUCGCUCAGGUACAGCUGGAUCCAGGGACCCAGGACUUCAGUGUUUCUUCCCUUGGUCCUCAGGCAGGCUCUUCCCACCACAGCCAGCAGGUCCUGACUCACAUCCUAUCAGGUUAGCAUCUUUCCACUGGGGCAAAAUGUUCCUGGGAGGCUUCUGAUUGGCUCGCCUGGUCACGUGCUCAUUCUGCGACUUGGGUGAGGAGUGGGAUCAGUGCAAACACCGCAGAAACCCCACUGGGAAGGAGGGGAAGGCACCGAGAUAGACCCAAACCAGCAAAGUCCGCUAGGAGAAAAGUAGACUUCCGAUAGAGGGUAAAGAAGGACCUGGCGCCCAGGUGGUCACAUGUUUUUCAGCAGUUCAAAUAGAGGACCCGUGAUGGAGCCGGAGAGGCUCUUGUGGCGAACACAUUGGGAUCGUUUUGAUGGAGCAAGGAUCGGAGUUUUUGGGUAACUAUGGUUUUGUUUCUGGACGAGGAUAAUUCCACGCCAGCCCUUGUUGAGGCGAGACUGUGGGGUGACAGUCAGGUUGGUGCUGGUUGGAGCAGGCUUAGAGGUGAGACUUUGGGGGGAUUAGCUCGGGGCGGGGGGUUGCUGAUGGGGUUGGGGUUGGUGAGCAAGGUGGGAAUGGCGCCGGGGACGGGGUGGUGGCGGAGGUGGCAGUUGACACAGCGGGGACUGUCUGGCAGCCCCAGGCGAUGGUUGCAUGGUGGGUCUUGGGGCUGAGUUGGGCUCACGAGUGAGCCGGGAUUGUGGUUAGGGGUGUGGGCAGCAGAGUACAGUUUGGGAGGAAUGUCAGGGGGGGGUGUGCCAGGCUGUGCCUGGGCUGGACUGGGUGGAAAUGAUGUGUUGGGAGAAGAAUUAAGCAUUUCGUGAGGGGCAGAGUGGGGGCGCGGGGAGGGAGGUACCACUUUUAGAGCUGGUGAUGGAACUCCGUGUGGGUGUGAGGAGCCGAUGAUGGUUAUUCUGUGGGAUGUGAUGGUUUCAUAGAGUAACAGAGGUGGAAGGACUUAGCUGCACUCUUACCGAGGAGGCCAAACCCCUCCUUCAGUGGUUGCAGCUGGAAUGCAAGCCCUCAUUCCCAGACCCAUUCUCUCUUUUUAAAAAUUAUUUUUUUAGUUCUUCACAGUAGUACAUGCAUAUAAUUUAAGAUGUCAAAUGGGAUGAGCGUGUCUUCAGCAAGUGCAGUUGUUCCUUGCCUUCUCCUCGAGGCAACCCCGUUUAGCUGCUGCUUCUAGCGAUGUUUCAUCUCGUGGAUCUGAGUAAUGUGCAUAUUUUUGACUCUUCCACUUUCCAUUGAUUUCCUCUUUAGUAAAUAAGAAUUUAGCUCUCUUAAUCGGCCAACGAUGGAUUUCUAUCCAGCCAUUCUCCUAAAAUUUCUGGUGGUUGGCAUGCUAUAUUAAUGGAGUUCUCCUCCUGGCUCAGUGGUUAACAAAUCCGUACUAGGAACCCUGAGGUUCUGGGUUCGAUCCCUGGCCUUGCUCAGUGGGUUAAGGAUCUGCAGUGGCCGUGAGCUGCAAUGUAGGUCACAGACGCUGCUCGGAUCCUGCGUUGCUAUGGCUCUGGUGUAGGCCGGCAGCAAUAGCUCCGAUUAGACCCCUAGCCUGGGAACCUCCACAUGCCACAGGAGCAGCCCUAG